UGAUGGCGACCGGCGCACGGGUGAGUAACACGUAUCCAACCUGCCGAUAACUCGGGGAUAGCCUUUCGAAAGAAAGAUUAAUACCCGAUGGCAUAAUUAGACCGCAUGGUCUUAUUAUUAAAGAAUUUCGGUUAUCGAUGGGGAUGCGUUCCAUUAGGCAGUUGGUGAGGUAACGGCUCACCAAACCUUCGAUGGAUAGGGGUUCUGAGAGGAAGGUCCCCCACAUUGGAACUGAGACACGGUCCAA
RNAcentral lists this ribosomal RNA (247 nucleotides) under uncultured bacterium. RNAcentral's name for it is "partial 16S ribosomal RNA". It matches the Rfam family "Bacterial small subunit ribosomal RNA", at positions 86 to 334 of the family's 1533-position model. The record is from RNAcentral.